AAUACCAAAAGUUUAAAAAAUUUUAUUUUAAAAAUGAAGAAAUUAGUGACAUUUCUUCAUAAAAAUAUAUACCACAAUUUUACAAGCAACAAUAAAACGAAACAGUUAGCUGAUUAAAGUGCAUCAAGAAGGAAUUCCAUUCGUACCACAAAAAAUCGUGAAAGAGAAUUUAACGAGGAAGUUUACACUAUCUUUUUUGCCAUAUGUUAUUUAUAUAGCCAGAGGAGACAUCGAACCGCUAAUUAUGCGACAAUUUCUCUAGCCUCUGCGCCACUGCUGCUCAUACAAAUUAUUUCAGCACCAAAUAACGUUUUAUCCAAAUAAGUGUGUUAGGAAGCACAAAUUUUAGAAGAUUUAGAAAUGAAAUUCACGAGUUUAUAUUACUUAAAUGUUUGAAAUUGAUAUUUCCAUGUGUAACAUUAUUCCAAGAAUUAAAAAAAAAGAAUUUUUAUCAAGACGCACAUAUUUAAAUGAUUCUAACUGAAAUCAAUCUAAUCCAUGGCGUGAAGUUUUCAUAAGUUUAAAAUUUACGCUUUAAAUCUUUUUAUAUACACGUUCAGUAAACGUCAAUCAUACAUCUACAAUAUAAACUGAUAUAAAUCGUUAUUCUAAACGUUUGAUCGACGUUUAAUAAACGUUUAUUAUAUUAUAAUAUAGUAAUAUAGCCAUUGGUCAGAAGACUCACAUAACAGCUUAGGUCACGGUGUAAAUGCCUACAAAUCAAUGGACUCCGAUGUUUUAGAAAUUAUUGAUGGCGACAUUGACACAGUUAAAAAAUAUGAGUUGCUGGUCUCUCGUUAUGAAAGUCCUUCUGCAAGAACUUUUUUCUUACAUUUGCUAAAGAAAAUUGUUGGAACAGAUCUGGUAAAAACCACUGUUAUGUCGCGACGUUACUAAUAUUUCUAUGUCAUAAAAAAGCAUGGAUGAUACAGGAAAUAUCGGAAGCUUCCAUUGAAAAAAUCCCACUUUUUUUGUAAGCGACCUUCUCUUUUUUUUAAAGAAAAUUCUAGAUAUAGAAGACUUUCUUUAAAAGCUGAUAAUUGUGCCCCUUCUCUUCCCCCCACCCCUCCUACUUUGAAAUCCGUGUCAUCGACCAUGUUAUAUACGUUAAUUAGACUAGAUUUAAACGUAAAUUAGACAAAAUCUAAACGCUUUAUAAAGCGUUUUCCAAAUGCCACUCCAAGUUUUUUUAUAUUCUGAUUUUUGCAUUUACU
Hydra vulgaris (swiftwater hydra) is the source of this 1214-nucleotide non-coding RNA. NCBI's taxonomy places the organism in Eukaryota, Metazoa, Cnidaria, Hydrozoa, Anthoathecata, Hydridae. The record is from RefSeq and is a predicted model, not a curated record.